CGUAGGGCGCAAGCGUUGUCCGGAAUUAUUGGGCGUAAAGAGCUUGUAGGUGGCUUGUCGCGUCUGCCGUGAAAACCCAAUGCUUAACGUUGGGCGUGCGGUGGGUACGGGCAGGCUAGAGUGUGGUAGGGGAGACUGGAAUUCCUGGUGUAGCGGUGAAAUGCGCAGAUAUCAGGAGGAACACCGAUGGCGAAGGCAGGUCUCUGGGCCAUUACUGACACUGAGAAGCGAAAGCAUGGGGAGCGAACAGGAUU
This 254-nucleotide ribosomal RNA is filed under the name uncultured bacterium. RNAcentral's name for it is "partial 16S ribosomal RNA". It matches the Rfam family "Bacterial small subunit ribosomal RNA", at positions 526 to 779 of the family's 1533-position model. The record is from RNAcentral.